Molecule: ribosomal RNA, 253 nt
Filed under: uncultured bacterium
Lineage: Bacteria
Description: partial 16S ribosomal RNA
Rfam family: Bacterial small subunit ribosomal RNA
Source: RNAcentral
UACGUAGGUGGCAAGCGUUGUCCGGAUUUACUGGGCGUAAAGAGCGCGCAGGCGGUCGAAUAAGUCGAAUGUGAAAGCCCCGGGCUCAACCUGGGAAUUGCAUUCGAGACUGCGUAGCUAGGGUGCGGAAGAGGGAAGCGGAAUUUCCGGUGUAGCGGUGAAAUGCGUAGAUAUCGGAAGGAACACCAGUGGCGAAAGCGGCUUCCUGGCUUCAGACUGACGCUGAGGUGCGAAAGCGUGGGUAGCGAACAGG